RNAcentral lists this small nuclear RNA (304 nucleotides) under Marmota monax (woodchuck). Its description in RNAcentral is "7SK RNA". It matches the Rfam family "7SK RNA". Rfam says of the family: 7SK was discovered as an abundant small nuclear RNA in the mid-70s but a possible function has only recently been suggested. Two independent studies have found that 7SK RNA binds the CDK9/cyclin T complex (known as elongation factor P-TEFb). Lineage: Eukaryota; Metazoa; Chordata; Mammalia; Rodentia; Sciuridae. The record is from Rfam by way of RNAcentral.
GGAUGUGAGGGCGAUCUGCCUGCGACAUCUGUCACCCCACUGAUUGCCAGGUUUGAUUUGGCUGAUCUGGCUGGCUAGGUAGGUGUCCCCUUCCUCCUUCACAGCUCCAUGUGCAUCCCUCCUGAAGCUGCACGCUUGGUUGAAGAGGAUUUACCUUCCCCCACAGAGGAGGACCAUUCUUCGGUCAAGGGUAUACAAGUAGCUGUGCUCCCCUGUUAGAACCUCCAAACAAGCUCUCAAAGAGUUUGAGAUCAACAGCUUGGAAGUACUCUUAUUAUCAGUGACAAAGGAAAGCAACCUCUUC